This 382-nucleotide ribosomal RNA is filed under the name uncultured eukaryote. Its description in RNAcentral is "partial 18S ribosomal RNA". It matches the Rfam family "Eukaryotic small subunit ribosomal RNA", at positions 592 to 976 of the family's 1831-position model. The record is from RNAcentral.
UGUAAGCGUAUACCAAAGUUGUUGCAGUUAAAACGCUCGUAGUCGGACUUUGGCAGUUCCGGAUGUGUGCACGUCGUGUGCGCACUUCGCGGGGAUUGCUUUUGUGGUCUUGCGUAGGAUGAGGCACUUUUAUUAGUGAACGUCCUCACGCAACCACUUUUUACUGUGAGAAAAUCAGAGUGCUCAAAGCAGGCAUUUGCCGUGAAUGUAUUAGCAUGGGAUAAUAGAAUAGGACUUGGUUCUAUUUUGUUGGUUUGUUGGGACUGAGUAAUGAUUAAGAGGGACAGUUGGGGGCAUUUGUAUUUCGGUGCUAGAGGUGAAAUUCUUAGAUUACCGAAAGACAAACUGCUGCGAAAGCGUCUGCCAAGGAUGUUUUCAUUGA